GAGGCGACGGUACAUUAGGACGCAGGCGCGGCUCACACCGCUCCAGUUGCCGGCGCAGGUCCUGUGACGUCACGCGCCGGCGAAGGUGGUCCACGACCGCCGGCCUCGGCUGCUCUCAGGCUGAUUCGGCGUCGGCCGGUCGCCCUCCCGCGCCGGCUGCAGUACGAGCCCAGGAGAGCACCGUCGGCCUCCCCACGCGUUGCGUUGCGUUGCGUUGCGUUCACUUCCGUGUCGCAGAUUUCCGGUUACCGCCAUCUUCCUCGCGCGGAAGCCGGCUUCUAGGUGGGAGCUCCGUAGCGAGAGCAGUGGGUAGUUCGGUCGGUGCCAUGCCGUCAUCGCCGCUGCGGGUGGCGGUGGUGUGCUCGAGUAACCAGAAUCGGAGCAUGGAAGCACACAACAUCCUCAGGUAGUGCAAGCUCCACCUGCCCUCCGCCCCUCCCUCCUCUUUCCCACAGAUUCUUGUCCAGACCCCGACCCUGUACUGACUGGGCCGCGGAGGUCGGGCCACGCCCGGCUUCCACGCUCAGCGAGCCCUCAGUGGGGUCCGUGCGCGCGACACCCUCGGUAGUGUAGGCAUCCCCGUAAACCCUAGAGGUGGCCACACGACAGCUGGGGCCCUCUGGGUGCUGGACGACCGGGCAGUAUCACGGGGUAGGCCAAGGUCUUUCCGUGCUGCGAAGGGUGCCUGGUGUUUAUCUUUCCCGUAUAUGUGUCGUCCGGCCACCUUGGAAAGCUCUCCACACGUCACAUCAAGAUGGAACGAGUCUGGAAGCAACAACAGUGAUCUGAGGUGUUAACGUCAGGGACUGUUUAUUGCUGUCUUCGUUUGCAAGUCUCAUGCACCAGCCACCACCCCUCUCAGCCCCAUAACUUUAGUCAGUAAUUUCUGGAGCACACGAAUUCAUUUGGUUCAGUGGGACCUCCUCAUAUUUCUUCACGAAUUCACCAGUUUCUAGUAGGGCAUUCAUCUUUGAUAGUAUUUUAUCUUAAAAAAAAAAAUCUCUUGACAAAAUGAGAAACUGAUGCAUUGUAUUACAGUUAAAAUGGGGGUUUGUACAUUUCAACUUAGUGCAGUAGAAAUGUCUUUUUUCCCCCAGAGUUAACUGUUUGUGAACUUUUAAAACUUUUUUAAAUAUUAUUUUUUGGCAAUUUCGGGUUUUUUUUGUUUUUUUUUUAACCCUCAAAACAGGGUCUCUGUGUAGUUCUGGCUGUCCUGGAACUCACUCUGUAUACCUGGUCGGUCUCAGACUCAGAGAAUUGCCUGCCUCUGUCUCGCAGCUACUGCAAUUAGAGGUGUGCUGCUGGUUUUGAACUCACUUUUCACCUGCCUCCCUUGUGUUGUUAUUACUAAUAGGAGUUUGCCACCAUACCAAGCACUGUCUUGUGUUUUCUUAGUCACCCAGAGUGUUAGUUGCCUAUUAUCUCAAAUUCUAAAGUUUCAUUCUUUGUAAUGCUUAGUACAUAGACCAGUAGUUCUCAACCUUCCUAAUGCUGCGACCAUUUAAUAUAGUCCUCAUUUUGCAGUGACCCCCCCCAACAAUAAAAUUAUUUUUGUUGCUACU
RNAcentral lists this long non-coding RNA (1562 nucleotides) under Mus musculus (house mouse). RNAcentral describes it as "long non-coding RNA chr4:155705055-155706617". The record is from RNAcentral. Lineage: Eukaryota; Metazoa; Chordata; Mammalia; Rodentia; Muridae.